UUGAACGCUGGCGGCAGGCCUAACACAUGCAAGUCGCGCGGAUGAAGGGAGCUUGCUCCUGGAUUCAGCGGCGGACGGGUGAGUAAUGCCUAGGAAUCUGCCUGGUAGUGGGGGAUAACGUCCGGAAACGGGCGCUAAUACCGCAUACGUCCUGAGGGAGAAAGUGGGGGAUCUUCGGACCUCACGCUAUCAGAUGAGCCUAGGUCGGAUUAGCUAGUUGGUGGGGUAAAGGCCUACCAAGGCGACGAUCCGUAACUGGUCUGAGAGGAUGAUCAGUCACACUGGAACUGAGGCACGGUCCAGACUCCUACGGGAGGCAGCAGUGGGGAAUAUUGGACAAUGGGCGAAAGCCUGAUCCAGCCAUGCCGCGUGUGUGAAGAAGGUCUUCGGAUUGUAAAGCACUUUAAGUUGGGAGGAAGGGCAGUAAGUUAAUACCUUGCUGUUUUGACGUUACCAACAGAAUAAGCACCGGCUAACUUCGUG
RNAcentral lists this ribosomal RNA (483 nucleotides) under uncultured bacterium. RNAcentral describes it as "partial 16S ribosomal RNA". It matches the Rfam family "Bacterial small subunit ribosomal RNA", at positions 30 to 507 of the family's 1533-position model. The record is from RNAcentral.